Long non-coding RNA from Amphiprion ocellaris (clown anemonefish), 300 nucleotides. Lineage: Eukaryota; Metazoa; Chordata; Actinopteri; Pomacentridae. The record is from Ensembl.
UGUUGGUCUCCAUGUUGGUCUCUAUGUUGAUCUCCAUGUUGUUCUCCAUUUUGGUCUCCAUGUUGGCCUCGAUGUUGGUCUCUAUGUUGUUCUCCAUGUUGAUCUCCAUGUAGUUCUCCAUGUAGGUCUCCAUGUUGGUCUCCAUGUGGCCCUCCAUGUAGGUCUCCAUGUUGAUCUCCAUGUAGUUCUCCAUGUAGGUCUCCAUGUUGAUCUCCAUGUAGUUCUCCAUGUAGGUCUCCAUGUUUAUCUCCAUGUAGUUCUCCAUGUUGGUCUCCAUGUUGGUCUCUGUGUUGGUCUCCA